Molecule: ribosomal RNA, 443 nt
Filed under: uncultured bacterium
Lineage: Bacteria
Description: partial 16S ribosomal RNA
Rfam family: Bacterial small subunit ribosomal RNA
Source: RNAcentral
CCUACGGGGGGCAGCAGUGGGGAAUAUUGGUCAAUGGGCGCGAGCCUGACCCAGCAACGCCGCGUGAAGGAAGAAGGCUUUCGGGUUGUAAACUUCUUUUCUCAGGGACGAAGCAAGUGACGGUACCUGAGGAAUAAGCCACGGCUAACUACGUGCCAGCAGCCGCUGUAAUACGUAGGUGGCAAGCGUUAGCCGGAUUUACUGGGUGUAAAGGGCGUGUAGGCGGGACUGCAAGUCAGAUGUGAAACCCACGGGCUCAACCGGUGGCCUGCAUUUGACACUGUAGUUCUUGAGUACUGGAGAGGCAGACGGAAUUCCUAGUGUAGCGGUGAAAUGCGUAGAUAUUAGGAGGAACACCAGUGGCGAAGGCGGUCUGCUGGACAGCAACUGACGCUGAGGCGCGAAAGCGUGGGGAGCAAACAGGAUUAGAUACCCUGGUAGUC